UUGAAAGCCCAGGAGCAGGCGCGCGUCUCCGCCCGCUCCCUUGGGAUCCGCCCCGGCGGCCUCGCGCAUGCGUGCAGUUCCCUAGGCGCUUCGAAGGUCCAGAUAACUGCAAACGGAUGAGAAAAGUGGAAAUCCCUGGUGCGUGGCCUAACUCGGGUGGGAGUUAGAAAUACAAGCGCUGCCCCUUCCUACCUGUGUGACCUUGGGCAAGUUACUGAACCCCUCUGAGCUCUAUUUUCUAUCUCGAUAAGGAGGAUGACAAUAAGGUGGUUGGGGGAAUUAAAUGAUGGAAGUGCGGUG
Long non-coding RNA from Lemur catta (Ring-tailed lemur), 300 nucleotides. RefSeq lists it as uncharacterized. NCBI's taxonomy places the organism in Eukaryota, Metazoa, Chordata, Mammalia, Primates, Lemuridae. The transcript is spliced from 2 exons. The record is from RefSeq and is a predicted model, not a curated record.